RNAcentral lists this ribosomal RNA (330 nucleotides) under uncultured bacterium. Its description in RNAcentral is "bacterial SSU rRNA". It matches the Rfam family "Bacterial small subunit ribosomal RNA", at positions 568 to 898 of the family's 1533-position model. The record is from RNAcentral.
CGCGUAGGCGGGUCUUCAAGUCAGGGGUGAAAUCCUCCGGCCCAACCGGAGAAGUGCUUUUGAUACUGGAGACCUCGAGCGAGGUAGGGGCAUGUGGAACUUCCGGUGGAGCGGUGAAAUGCGUAGAUAUCGGAAGGAACGCCGGUGGCGAAAGCGACGUGCUGGACCUCUUCUGACGCUGAGGCGCGAAAGCUAGGGGAGCGAACGGGAUUAGAUACCCCGGUAGUCCUAGCCCUAAACGAUGGGUACUAGAUUGUAGGCUGACAUGGGCUUACAGUCGGAGCAAAAGUGUUAAGUACCCCGCCUGGGGAGUAUGGUCGCAAGGCUGAA